GUGAGGAAUAUUGGUCAAUGGGCGGGAGCCUGAACCAGCCAAGUCGCGUGAAGGAAGAAGGAUCUAUGGUUCGUAAACUUCUUUUGCAGGGGAAUAAAGUGCAGGACGUGUCCUGUUUUGUAUGUACCCUGAGAAUAAGGAUCGGCUAACUCCGUGCCAGCAGCCGCGGUAAUACGGAGGAUCCGAGCGUUAUCCGGAUUUAUUGGGUUUAAAGGGUGCGUAGGUGGUUUGAUAAGUCAGCGGUGAAAGUUUGCAGCUUAACUGUAAAAAUGCCGUUGAAGCUGUCGGACUUGAGUGUAAAUGAGGUAGGCGGAAUGCGUGGUGUAGCGGUGAAAUGCAUAGAUAUCACGCAGAACUCCGAUUGCGAAGGCAGCUUACUAAGCUACAACUGACACUGAAGCACGAAAGCGUGGGGAUCAAACAGGAUUAGAAACCCGAGUAGUCC
RNAcentral lists this ribosomal RNA (445 nucleotides) under uncultured bacterium. Its description in RNAcentral is "partial 16S ribosomal RNA". It matches the Rfam family "Bacterial small subunit ribosomal RNA", at positions 354 to 796 of the family's 1533-position model. The record is from RNAcentral.